This 449-nucleotide ribosomal RNA is filed under the name uncultured bacterium. RNAcentral describes it as "bacterial SSU rRNA". It matches the Rfam family "Bacterial small subunit ribosomal RNA", at positions 329 to 795 of the family's 1533-position model. The record is from RNAcentral.
AGCCAGACUCCUACGGGAGGCAGCAGUGGGGGAUAUUGCACAAUGGGGGAAACCCUGAUGCAGCGACGCCGCGUGAGUGAAGAAGUAUUUCGGUAUGUAAAGCUCUAUCAGCAGGGAAGAAAAUGACAGUACCUGACCAAGAAGCCCCGGCUAACUACGUGCCAGCAGCCGCGGUAAUACGUAGGGGGCAAGCGUUAUCCGGAAUUACUGGGUGUAAAGGGAGCGUAGACGGUAAUGCAAGUCUGGAGUGAAAGGCGGGGGCCCAACCCCCGGACUGCUCUGGAAACUGUGUAACUGGAGUGCAGGAGAGGCAGGCGGAAUUCCUAGUGUAGCGGUGAAAUGCGUAGAUAUUAGGAGGAACACCAGUGGCGAAGGCGGCCUGCUGGACUGUAACUGACGUUGAGGCUCGAAAGCGUGGGGAGCAAACAGGAUUAGAUACCCCCGUAGAC